Molecule: transfer RNA, 67 nt
Filed under: Batillaria attramentaria
Lineage: Eukaryota; Metazoa; Mollusca; Gastropoda; Batillariidae
Description: tRNA-Ala
Source: RNAcentral
GGCUUGAUACUUUAAUUUAAAAGGUCUGACUUGCAUUUAGAAAAUGAGCAAACUUGCUCUCGGGCCA